UACGGAGGGUGCGAGCGUUAAUCGGAAUUACUGGGCGUAAAGCGAGUGUAGGCGGUUGCAUAAGUCGGAUGUGAAAGCCCCGGGCUUAACCUGGGAAUGGCAUUCGAUACUGUGCGGCUAGAGUCUGAUAGAGGGAAGUGGAAUUCCAGGAGUAGCGGUGAAAUGCGUAGAUAUCUGGAAGAACACCAGUGGCGAAGGCGGCUUCCUGGAUCAAGACUGACGCUGAGGCUCGAAAGCGUGGGGAGCAAACAGG
This 253-nucleotide ribosomal RNA is filed under the name uncultured bacterium. RNAcentral describes it as "partial 16S ribosomal RNA". It matches the Rfam family "Bacterial small subunit ribosomal RNA", at positions 524 to 776 of the family's 1533-position model. The record is from RNAcentral.